UAGCCGGAGUAGACGGAGCCGCAGUAGACGGAUCCGCGGCUGCACCAAACCACUGCCCCUCGGAGCCUGGUAGUGGGCCACAAGCCCCCAGUCCCAGAGGCGUGAUUUUCUGGCAUCCUUAAAUCUUGUGUCAAGGAUUGGUUAUAAUAUAACCAGAAACCAUGACGGCGGCUGAGAACGUAUGCUACACGUUAAUUAACGUGCCAAUGGAUUCAGAACCACCAUCUGAAAUUAGCUUAAAAAAUGAUCUAGAUUCAUGGAGCCUGCAUUAACUCAAUUGGUUAGGAACCAGAAAUCUAAUCCAGCGCCUUCAUAUUAUAUAUAAAGAGUCUGAUUUCCAGAGAUAAAUGACUUGAGCAAAGACAGAUUAUUUGGUGGAGAACCAGGUGGAGAACCUUGUCACUUGGAAAAAGGAGAUGUAAAGUCAAAGACUGAAGCUUUGAAGAAAGUAAUCAUUAUGAUUCUGAAUGGUGAAAAACUUCCUGGACUUCUGAUGACCAUCAUUCGUUUUGUGCUACCUCUUCAGGAUCACACUAU
This 537-nucleotide long non-coding RNA is filed under the name Homo sapiens (human). RNAcentral describes it as "non-protein coding lnc-PSMA1-3:3". Lineage: Eukaryota; Metazoa; Chordata; Mammalia; Primates; Hominidae. The record is from RNAcentral.